CCAUGCAUGUCUAAGUAUAAGCACUUUAUACUGUGAAACUGCGAAUGGCUCAUUAAAUCAGUUAUAAUUUAUUUGAUAAUACCUUACUACUUGGAUAACCGUGGUAAUUCUAGUGCUAAUACAUGCGUCAAGCCCCGACUUCUGGAAGGGGUGUAUUUAUUAGAUAAAAAACCAAUCGGGCAACCGUUUUCUGGUGAAUCAUGAUAACUAUUCGAAUCGCAUGACUCUGUCGGCGAUGGUUCAUUCAAAUUUCUGCCCUAUCAACUUUCGAUGGUAGUAUAGAGGACUACCAUGGUUAUAACGGGUAACGGAGAAUUAGGGUUCGAUUCCGGAGAGGGAGCCUGAGAAACGGCUACCACAUCCAAGGAAGGCAGCAGGCGCGCAAAUUACCCAAUCCCGAUACGGGGAGGUAGUGACAAUAAAUAACAAUCCAGAGCUUUAUGUUUUGGAAUUGUAAUGAGUACAAUUUAAACCUCUUAACGAGAACCAAUUGGAGGGCAAGUCUGGUGCCAGCAGCCGCGGUAAUUCCAGCUCCAAUAGCGUAUAUUAAAGUUGUUGCAGUUAAAAAGCUCGUAGUUGAACCUCGGACCUGGCUGGGGGGUCUCUCCGGAGUACUCCUUGGCCUGGUCUUUCCUUCUGGCGAGCCGCGGUGCUAUUCAUUUAGUGCCGCGGGGAACCAGGACUUUUACUUUGAAAAAAUUAGAGUGUUUAAAGCAGGCUUACGCUUGAAUACAUUAGCAUGGAAUAAUAAAAUAGGACUUUGGUUUUAUUUUGUUGGUUUUCGAAACCGAAGUAAUGAUUAAUAGGGAUAGUUGGGGGCAUUCGUAUUUAGCCGUCAGAGGUGAAAUUCUUGGAUUGGCUAAAGACGAACUUCUGCGAAAGCAUUUGCCAAGGAUGUUUUCAUUAAUCAAGAACGAAAGUUAGGGGAUCGAAGACGAUCAGAUACCGUCGUAGUCUUAACCAUAAACUAUGCCGACUAGGGAUCGGACAAUGUUCAAUAAUGACUUGUUCGGCACCUUAUGAGAAAUCAAAGUUUUUAGGUUCC
RNAcentral lists this ribosomal RNA (1045 nucleotides) under Alphamyces chaetifer. Its description in RNAcentral is "SSU rRNA". It matches the Rfam family "Eukaryotic small subunit ribosomal RNA", at positions 49 to 1115 of the family's 1831-position model. Lineage: Eukaryota; Fungi; Chytridiomycota; Chytridiomycetes; Rhizophydiales; Alphamycetaceae. The record is from RNAcentral.